AAUGAACGCUGGCGGCAUGCCUUACACAUGCAAGUCGAACGGCAGCAUGACCUAGCUUGCUAGGUUGAUGGCGAGUGGCGCACGGGUGAGUAAUGCAUCGGAACGUGCCUUUUAGUGGGGGAUAACGUAGCGAAAGUUACGCUAAUACCGCAUAUUCUCUGAGGAGGAAAGCAGGGGACCUUCGGGCCUUGCGCUAGAAGAGCGGCCGAUGUCGGAUUAGCUAGUUGGUGAGGUAAAGGCUCACCAAGGCAACGAUCCGUAGCGGGUCUGAGAGGAUGAUCCGCCACACUGGGACUGAGACACGGCCCAGACUCCUACGGGAGGCAGCAGUGGGGAAUUUUGGACAAUGGGCGCAAGCCUGAUCCAGCCAUGCCGCGUGAGUGAAGAAGGCCUUCGGGCUGUAAAGCUCUUUCGGCUGGGAAGAAAUCGCACCCUCUAAUACAGGGUGUGGAUGACGGUACCAGCAUAAGAAGCACCGGCUAACUACGUG
RNAcentral lists this ribosomal RNA (490 nucleotides) under uncultured bacterium. RNAcentral's name for it is "partial 16S ribosomal RNA". It matches the Rfam family "Bacterial small subunit ribosomal RNA", at positions 29 to 507 of the family's 1533-position model. The record is from RNAcentral.